GUGGGGAAUCUUAGACAAUGGGGGAAACCCUGAUCUAGCCAUGCCGCGUGAUCGAUGAAGGCCUUAGGGUUGUAAAGAUCUUUCAGCUGGGAAGAUAAUGACGGUACCAGCAGAAGAAGCCCCGGCUAACUCCGUGCCAGCAGCCGCGGUAAUACGGAGGGGGCUAGCGUUGUUCGGAAUUACUGGGCGUAAAGCGCACGUAGGCGGAUUGGAAAGUUGGGGGUGAAAUCCCGGGGCUCAACCCCGGAACUGCCUUCAAAACUCCCAGUCUUGAGGUCGAGAGAGGUGAGUGGAAUUCCGAGUGUAGAGGUGAAAUUCGUAGAUAUUCGGAGGAACACCAGUGGCGAAGGCGGCUCACUGGCUCGAUACUGACGCUGAGGUGCGAAAGCGUGGGGAGCAAACAGGAUUAGAAACCCCUGUAGUCC
This 425-nucleotide ribosomal RNA is filed under the name uncultured bacterium. RNAcentral's name for it is "partial 16S ribosomal RNA". It matches the Rfam family "Bacterial small subunit ribosomal RNA", at positions 354 to 796 of the family's 1533-position model. The record is from RNAcentral.